UAGGGAAUCUUCCACAAUGGACGAAAGUACUGAUGGAGCAACGCGCGUGAGUGAAGAAGGGUUUCGGCUCGUAAACUCUGUUGUUAAAGAAGAACAUAUCUGAGAGUAACUGUUCAGGUAUUGACGGUAUUUAACCAGAAAGCCACGGCUACUACGUGCCAC
Molecule: ribosomal RNA, 162 nt
Filed under: uncultured bacterium
Lineage: Bacteria
Description: partial 16S rRNA
Rfam family: Bacterial small subunit ribosomal RNA
Source: RNAcentral